Molecule: ribosomal RNA, 485 nt
Filed under: uncultured bacterium
Lineage: Bacteria
Description: bacterial SSU rRNA
Rfam family: Bacterial small subunit ribosomal RNA
Source: RNAcentral
GAUGAACGCUAGCGGCAGGCUUAACACAUGCAAGUCGAGGGGUAACAGGGGUAGCAAUACCUGCUGACGACCGGCAAACGGGUGCGGAACACGUACACAAUCUACCUUUAUCUGGGGCAUAGCCCGGAGAAAUCCGGAUUAAUUCCCCAUAAAAUAACAGAGUGGCAUCACUUAAUUAUUAAAACUCCGGUGGAUAGAGAUGAGUGUGCGUCCCAUUAGCUAGUUGGUAAGGUAAAGGCUUACCAAGGCGACGAUGGGUAGCUGGUGUGAGAGCACGACCAGCCACACGGGCACUGAGACACGGGCCCGACUCCUACGGGAGGCAGCAGUGAGGAAUAUUGGUCAAUGGACGCAAGUCUGAACCAGCCAUGCCGCGUGAAGGAUGAAGGCCUUCUGGGUUGUAAACUUCUUUUAUGAGGGAAGAAAACUAUGGUUUCUACUAUAGCCGACGGUACUUAGGAAUAAGCACCGGCUAACUCCGUGCC